Long non-coding RNA from Chiroxiphia lanceolata (lance-tailed manakin), 208 nucleotides. RefSeq lists it as uncharacterized. The transcript has 3 exons. The record is from RefSeq and is a predicted model, not a curated record. Lineage: Eukaryota; Metazoa; Chordata; Aves; Passeriformes; Pipridae.
CCAGCACAGCAGCCUGAAGAGGUGCAGCAGGUGCAGCCCCCGCAGGAGGAUGCAGGCCAGGAGCGGACAGAAGAGCAGCUCCGUGCCCGUGGCCGCUUCCGCAGGGCAGCACAGACAUUUAUGAAAUUCAUGCGCAGUCGGCGUAGACAGUCCAGGAUCACACCAGCUGAUGUCCAGGCCCAGCCUGACACCAUCCCGACCCAGCUGA